AGAACGAACGCUGGCGGCAUGCCUAACACAUGCAAGUCGGACGCGUGGCUUCGGCCACGAGUGGCGCACGGGUGAGUAACGCGUGGGAACCUGCCCAUCGGUACGGAACAACCGCGGGAAACUGCCUCUGAUACCGGAUAUACCCUGCGGGAGAAAUAUUUAUCCCCCAUGGAAGGGCCCACGUCGGAUUAGGUAGUUGGGGGGGUAACGGCCUACCAACCCUGCCAUCCGUAGCUGGUCUGAGAAGAUGAUCAGCCACACUGGGUCUGAGACACGGCCCAGACUCCUACCAGAGGCAGAGAGGGGAAUAUUGGACAAUGGGGGCAACCCUGAUCCAGCAAUGCCGCGUGAGUGAAGAAGGCCUUACGGUUGUAACGCUCUUUCGGCGGGGACGAUGAUGACGGUACCCGCAUAAUAAGCCCCGGAUAACUCCGUGCCGGCAGCCGCGGUAAUACAAAGGGCGCUAGCGUUGUUCGGAAUUACUGGGCGUAAAGGGCGCGCAGGCGGCGGUUCAAGUCGGGCGUGAAAGGCCUGGGCUCAACCCGGGAAUGGCGCUCGAGACUGGACUGCUGGAGUCCGGGAGAGGAUGGUGGAAUUCCCAGUGUAGAGGUGAAAUUCGUAGAUAUUGGGAAGAACAC
This 638-nucleotide ribosomal RNA is filed under the name uncultured Alphaproteobacteria bacterium. Its description in RNAcentral is "bacterial SSU rRNA". It matches the Rfam family "Bacterial small subunit ribosomal RNA", at positions 26 to 709 of the family's 1533-position model. The record is from RNAcentral. Lineage: Bacteria; Pseudomonadati; Pseudomonadota; Alphaproteobacteria.